Molecule: ribosomal RNA, 253 nt
Filed under: uncultured bacterium
Lineage: Bacteria
Description: partial 16S ribosomal RNA
Rfam family: Bacterial small subunit ribosomal RNA
Source: RNAcentral
UACGUAGGCAGCAAGCGUUGUUCGGAGUUACUGGGCGUAAAGGGUGUGUAGGCGGUUCCUUAAGUUUGCUGUGAAAUCUCCCGGCUUAACCGGGAGGGUGCGGUGAAUACUGAGGGACUAGAGUACGGGAGAGGAAAGUGGAAUUCCUGGUGUAGCGGUGAAAUGCGUAGAUAUCAGGAGGAACAUCGGUGGCGAAGGCGGCUUCCUGGACACUUACUGACGCUGAGACGCGAAAGCGUGGGGAGCAAACAGG